This 253-nucleotide ribosomal RNA is filed under the name uncultured bacterium. RNAcentral describes it as "partial 16S ribosomal RNA". It matches the Rfam family "Bacterial small subunit ribosomal RNA", at positions 524 to 776 of the family's 1533-position model. The record is from RNAcentral.
UACGGAGGGUGCGAGCGUUGUCCGGAAUUACUGGGCGUAAAGCGCGCGCAGGCGGCUAUCCAAGUCAGUGGUGAAAGCCCGGAGCUCAACUCCGGAACUGCCAUUGAAACUGUUUAGCUUGAGGAUGAGAGAGGUGAGUGGAAUUCCCAGUGUAGAGGUGAAAUUCGUAGAUAUUGGGAAGAACACCGGUGGCGAAGGCGGCUCACUGGCUCAUUACUGACGCUCAGGCGCGAUAGCGUGGGGAUCAAACAGG